RNAcentral lists this long non-coding RNA (640 nucleotides) under Sorghum bicolor (sorghum). RNAcentral describes it as "long non-coding RNA (SBIC_LNC000478)". The record is from RNAcentral. Lineage: Eukaryota; Viridiplantae; Streptophyta; Magnoliopsida; Poales; Poaceae.
GCACGAUGCAGGCACGACUCCUGGCCGUCGGAUGCAAUGUGACCUCCUCUCCACCGUUGGAUCUAGGUUAGGGUUUCACCGAGUAUAUAUUCGUCCCUCCCCCGACUCUGCCUCUCUCACUCCCAUACGGAUGUAAUGUGGGGCUGUAAUAUUUUGUGAACUUGGACAUGGCUGGACUUGAUGAAUGAAUGAACUUGUAGUGGAGCUCGGCUGUACUCUUUUCCUGCCUAGGGUUUCUCACAAGGGUGAGUUUUACCUAGGUGGGUUUUUAAUGAGGCAGCCAUUACACUAAAGCUCCCAUUUUGUUAAUUGUCUUGUUUGUUUUGUGUUGAUUUCUAUGUUUUUUUUGAGGAUUCUUUAUGUUGAAACUUGAAGUCUUGAUUAGUUUUUGAUUCUGUACAUUUUGAGGUUUUUUGAUAGUAUAGUGCCAGUGCUGACACGGCACUGAUGUGCCAACAUAGUGCCGGUACGGCACUGGCACGUUUAAGCCUGUAUAGGGCCGUGCCUGGGCUGCUGAUGCAGCAUGGCGGCACUAACAGGCACGGCACGAUAUGUCACCGUGCCAUUGUAGUGCCGUGCCUGAUAGUGCCGUGCUUAAUAGUGCUAGUGCUAGUGUCGUGCUGGGCGGCCCGUUUGGCCA